UAAAAUCAGCUACUUACCCUUUUUGUCAGAUUUAAGAUACUGACAUCAAGCAAGUAGUGCAGUUGUCUCUUAAUUAAGUGUUGUAACUAUUCUAAUUCAGUGUCCUUUCAUCAGUCAUUUAUCAUCACUUUUACUGCUCGUACUAUUACUUCUUAUGCUAAUUGCCAACUGAAAUGCUCCUAAACUACAUAACUGCAUAAAUAUUUCCUGGGAGAAGAGUUCAGCAUUUCUCAUGCUCAUUGGAAAAAAAUUCUACAGGAAAACAUAUUCUGCCCAGAGCACGGGUUGCAAAAUCUGAAGUAAUGUGAUUUGUCUGUGGCCAGGACAGCUAAUCAUCUCCUCGUGGUGGAAUGGACAUGUUGGUUUCUGCAUGUUUCCUACAAAUGCUGAAUCAAGUGGACUUUGGAAGACAGGCACCGAAGUUACUGCUGACAAAAUAGCAAACGCCUCAGAGUACACAGGACCACCUUCCUGGGCAUCCUUUUCUCCACCAAGCUAUUUUCUUCCUGCUUUUAGUAAUAAUUGUUGAAAGGAUUUGAGCAGAGCACUUGGUAUCUGAGCAAAAUAUUGCACAUCCAACAGCAAUAACAAAGUAAGAAAAAAAAGUUUUAAUUAGUUUGGGUCAGAGCUAAGGCAACAGUUCAUGAAAGGGCACUGAACUUUAUACUUAUGACACUUAUUGAUCACUGAUCAUCCCCUCAGCGCUGACUUACAUACAAGUUAAAUACUGUUAAUUCACAGAUUACACCAGCAGUCCUUGAGAUAUCUUUCUGCGUGGAACUGAGCUUGCUUUUCUGCAGUAUCAUCUUGCCUCUCUCACUGAAAACAAUGACACCAGUGAGAACAUCUUUACUGAAAUAUUUAUAUGUGAUCAUGAGCAAAAAUUCUUUUCUUUUAUUGAUAAAAGGUGGUGGAUUGCUUUUUAACCAUCCCUCUCUUUUCACAAGUGAUUAAAAUACUGAACAUUCCCUUAGGCAAGUUGUAAAUGAAAG
Molecule: long non-coding RNA, 992 nt
Filed under: Coturnix japonica (Japanese quail)
Lineage: Eukaryota; Metazoa; Chordata; Aves; Galliformes; Phasianidae
Description: lncRNA (ENSCJPG00005000172.1)
Source: RNAcentral